This 1711-nucleotide ribosomal RNA is filed under the name metagenome. RNAcentral's name for it is "bacterial LSU rRNA". It matches the Rfam family "Bacterial large subunit ribosomal RNA", at positions 1135 to 2925 of the family's 2925-position model. The record is from RNAcentral.
AAAUAGCUCACUGGUCGAGUGACUCUGCGCGGAAAAUGUAACGGGGCUAAGCAUGCAACCGAAGCUUAGGAUUGUCUAAAGACAGUGGUAGGGGAGCGUUCUGUAUGGGGUGAAGUCGCAGCGAGAGCAGCGGUGGACUGUACAGAAGUGAGAAUGCCGGAAUGAGUAGCGAGAAUUAUGUGGGAAUCAUAAUGGCCGAAAAUCUAAGGUUUCUUGGGGAAGGUUCGUCCGCCCAAGGUAAGUCGGGAGCUAAGCUCAGGCCGCGAGGCGUAGGCGAUGCACAUACGGUAGAAAUUCCGUAACCACCGAACUUUAAGCAUGAGGGACACUUUGAGAUAGCGGAACCCGGGCGUUGGUUGACCCGGGCGAAAGGGACCGAAAUAUAGUAGGGAAGUCCGCGAUGCUCGGAGGCGAGAAAAGCUCAUGUGUAUACUAAGGUGCCCGUACCGCAAACCGACACAGGUAGAUGAGGAGAGAAUCCUAAGGCCAACGGGAGAAGGGUUGUUAAGGAACUCGGCAAGAUGACCCCGUAACUUCGGAAGAAGGGGAGCCUCGAAAGAGGCCGCAGUGAAUAGGCCCAAGCAACUGUUUACCAAAAACACAGGUUUAUGCUAAAUCGAAAGAUGACGUAUAUGAGCUGACGCCUGCCCGGUGCCGGAAGGUUAAGAGGAGAUGUCAACCGCAAGGUGAAGCACUGAAUUGAAGCCCCGGUAAACGGCGGCCGUAACAAUAACGGUCCUAAGGUAGCGAAAUUCCUUGUCAGGUAAGUUCUGACCCGCACGAAAGGCGCAAUGAUUUGGGCACUGUCUCAACAGCCCGCCCGGCGAAAUUGUAGUACUGGUGAAGAUGCCAGUUACCCGCAACUAGACGGAAAGACCCCAUGGAGCUUUACUGCAGCUUAAUACUGGAAUUCGGUAAAUCAUGUACAGGAUAGGUGGGAGACAGGGAAGCAUUGGCGUCAGCCAGUGUGGAGUCGCUGGUGGGAUACCACUCUUGAUUUGCUGGGUUUCCAACCUGCGGCCGUGAAUCCGGUCGGGGGACACUGUUAGGCGGGCAGUUUGACUGGGGCGGUCGCCUCCAAAAGAGUAACGGAGGCGCUCAAAGGUUGGCUCAGCACGGACGGAAAUCGUGCAAUGAGUGUAAACGUAUAAGCCAGCCUAACUGCGAGACCGACGGGUCGAGCAGUAACGAAAGUUGGAGUUAGUGAUCCGGUGGUAUGUGAGUGGAAAUGCCAUCGCUCAACGGAUAAAAGCUACCCUGGGAUAACAGGCUGAUCUCCCCCAAGCGUCCACAGCGACGGGGAGGUUUGGCACCUCGAUGUCGGCUCGUCACAUCCUGGGGCUGUAUUCGGUCCCAAGGGUUCGGCUGUUCGCCGAUUAAAGUGGCACGCGAGCUGGGUUCAGAACGUCGUGAGACAGUUCGGUCCCUAUCUGUUGCGGGCGAAAGAGAUUUGAAGGGAGCUGUCCUUAGUACGAGAGGACCGGGAUGGACGUACCUCUGGUGCACCAGUUGUCCUGCCAAGGGCAUAGCUGGGUAGCUAUGUACGGACGAGAUAAACGCUGAAAGCAUCUAAGCGUGAAACUCCCCCUAAGAUGAGCUCUCUCAUCCUUCAUGGAGUAAGGGCCCAGGAAGACUACCUGGUUGAUAGGCAAGAGGUGGAAGCGCAGUAAUGUGUGUAGCUGACUUGUACUAAUAGCCCGAGGGCUUGAUC